RNAcentral lists this transfer RNA (54 nucleotides) under Dermatophagoides farinae (American house dust mite). RNAcentral's name for it is "tRNA-Asp". The record is from RNAcentral. Lineage: Eukaryota; Metazoa; Arthropoda; Arachnida; Sarcoptiformes; Pyroglyphidae.
UAAGCUUCAGUUUUUAGAAAUAUAGUUUUGUCGGAACUAAGAUUUUUUGCUUAG